GAUUUAGAUCCGCAUUAACUGCAAACAAAUAAGGUCUUAGAGUAGAAAUGAUGAUAACAAAUUCAUUAUAUUAAAAUCUUCUCAUGAAGGGGUAAUCAUUGUGUAAUGAGGUCCUUUCAUAAAAUUGUUUUUGAUGAAUGAAUGAAUAAAUUAAUUCGACGUCCAAGUGCCGACAACGAAUUAUGGUGAUAUUUUCUUGUUGGGCCAAAAGUUUUAGAAGGCAUAUAGAUUCGUCAGUUUGGCACAAUGAAUACACCUAAAUGAGUUGAUAGUAAAUAUUUGUUUGAGUUUCGAUGUCUAAGAGUUAUAACUCUUAUUAAGAUAGAAUUAUAUAAAGUGGUUAAUAUUUAGAUUUGAAGACAAGGAACGUCUUCUCCUAGAGAAACAAGAAUGGGAAAAAAAGAAGAAGAUUGAAGAUAUUUUUGUUGAAAUGGACAUGUAUGUCUUGCAACCACAUAUUGGCUUUACGAAUCCAUCAGUUUUGUUGCUGCAGAGUGGAUGUCACAAAUUGGACACCUUUGCUUAUUUAUUGUUCAUAUGUCCUAUGAAGAACUUUUCUUUUCAAAUAUUUUGUAAACACUGCUCUACAAUUUAUUUUUGGUCCAUCUUUAAUUCUUGAACUUAUGUGUCAUCUGCAUUCUUAGUGAACUCGAGGGAUGUACCCAAGAAAAUAUUGUGGAGAGUCGCCAUUACUCUUGGAUGUUGACACCUUCAGGGUUUCAUAUUCUUCUACAGCCACAAUUUUCCUAUUUAUGGAGAAGGAGUUUUGAGUGAUUUAGUUUCCAAAGCUACAAAGUGACAAUGUAUUCUCAUUAAUGUGGAGACUUUGAUUUCAUGUAGAGGAAUUGUAACACCCUGUAGCCAAAAGAGACCAAAAAUUAGUUUUUCAGAAAAAUCUACAGGUGCUACCAACAAUGGCAUCGACGGACCGUAGCCGGAACCACGGUCCGGCCUGCACAACCAUCGAUGGGAUCAGAAACUCCCAAAAAUUUCAUCCUAGAAACAUUUGUUAAGUCUUGGACGACGGACGGACUUACGGUCCGUAGGUCAAACGAUGGUCCGUAGUCCAUGACCAUCGAUCAAGACUCCCUUCAACCACUCUCUGACAAGAGCUAUGGAUGACCAGCUAGUUCGUAGGUGGACCUACGGUCCGCAGGUCUGACCGUAGGUGGAAAAUUUGCAGCCAGUUAAGGGGAAAUGCAGUUGGGUCAACUUAAAAUGAUUAUAAC
Molecule: long non-coding RNA, 1229 nt
Filed under: Solanum lycopersicum (tomato)
Lineage: Eukaryota; Viridiplantae; Streptophyta; Magnoliopsida; Solanales; Solanaceae
Description: partial TCONS_00015983
Source: RNAcentral